GAUGAACGCUGGCGGCGUGCUUAACACAUGCAAGUCGAACGGAAAGGCCCAAGCUUGCUUGGGUCCUCGAGUGGCGAACGGGUGAGUAACACGUGGGUGAUCUGCCCUGCACUUCGGGAUAAGCCUGGGAAACUGGGUCUAAUACCGGAUAGGACCACUUCUUGGAUGUUGUGGUGGAAAGUUUUUUCGGUGUGGGAUGAGCUCGCGGCCUAUCAGCUUGUUGGUGGGGUAAUGGCCUACCAAGGCGUCGACGGGUAGCCGGCCUGAGAGGGUGUACGGCCACAUUGGGACUGAGAUACGGCCCAGACUCCUACGGGAGGAAGCAGUGGGGAAUAUUGCACAAGGGGCGCAAGCCUGAUGCAGCGACGCCGCGUGGGGGAUGACGGCCUUCGGGUUGGAAACUCCUUUCGCUAGGGACGAAGCGUUUUGUGACGGUACCUGGAGAAGAAGCACCGGCUAACUACGUG
This 467-nucleotide ribosomal RNA is filed under the name uncultured bacterium. RNAcentral's name for it is "partial 16S ribosomal RNA". It matches the Rfam family "Bacterial small subunit ribosomal RNA", at positions 28 to 507 of the family's 1533-position model. The record is from RNAcentral.